GGGAAUAUAGCUCAGUUGGUAGAGUGCUUGCCUUGCAUACAUAAGGCCCUGGGUUCAAUCCCCAGUACCA
Molecule: transfer RNA, 70 nt
Filed under: Ictidomys tridecemlineatus (thirteen-lined ground squirrel)
Lineage: Eukaryota; Metazoa; Chordata; Mammalia; Rodentia; Sciuridae
Description: Spermophilus tridecemlineatus (thirteen-lined ground squirrel) tRNA
Rfam family: tRNA
About the family: Transfer RNA (tRNA) molecules are approximately 80 nucleotides in length. Their secondary structure includes four short double-helical elements and three loops (D, anti-codon, and T loops).
Source: Rfam by way of RNAcentral